AUUGAACGCUGGCGGCAGGCCUAACACAUGCAAGUCGAGCGGAUGAAGGGAGCUUGCUCCUGGAUUCAGCGGCGGACGGGUGAGUAAUGCCUAGGAAUCUGCCUGGUAGUGGGGGAUAACGUCCGGAAACGGGCGCUAAUACCGCAUACGUCCUGAUGGAGAAAGUGGGGGAUCUUCGGACCUCACGCUAUCAGAUGAGCCUAGGUCGGAUUAGCUAGUUGGUGGGGUAAAGGCCUACCAAGGCGACGAUCCGUAACUGGUCUGAGAGGAUGAUCAGUCACACUGGAACUGAGACACGGUCCAGACUCCUACGGGAGGCAGCAGUGGGGAAUAUUGGACAAUGGGCGAAAGCCUGAUCCAGCCAUGCCGCGUGUGUGAAGAAGGUCUUCGGAUUGUAAAGCACUUUAAGUUGGGAGGAAGAGCAGUAAGUUAAUACCUUGCUGUCUUGACGUUACCAACAGAAUAAGCACCGGCUAACUUCGUA
Molecule: ribosomal RNA, 484 nt
Filed under: uncultured bacterium
Lineage: Bacteria
Description: partial 16S ribosomal RNA
Rfam family: Bacterial small subunit ribosomal RNA
Source: RNAcentral